This 1586-nucleotide ribosomal RNA is filed under the name Escherichia coli. Its description in RNAcentral is "partial 23S ribosomal RNA". It matches the Rfam family "Bacterial large subunit ribosomal RNA", at positions 296 to 1876 of the family's 2925-position model. Lineage: Bacteria; Pseudomonadati; Pseudomonadota; Gammaproteobacteria; Enterobacterales; Enterobacteriaceae. The record is from RNAcentral.
AGCCCAGAGCCUGAAUCAGUGUGUGUGUUAGUGGAAGCGUCUGGAAAGGCGCGCGAUACAGGGUGACAGCCCCGUACACAAAAAUGCACAUGCUGUGAGCUCGAUGAGUAGGGCGGGACACGUGGUAUCCUGUCUGAAUAUGGGGGGACCAUCCUCCAAGGCUAAAUACUCCUGACUGACCGAUAGUGAACCAGUACCGUGAGGGAAAGGCGAAAAGAACCCCGGCGAGGGGAGUGAAAAAGAACCUGAAACCGUGUACGUACAAGCAGUGGGAGCACGCUUAGGCGUGUGACUGCGUACCUUUUGUAUAAUGGGUCAGCGACUUAUAUUCUGUAGCAAGGUUAACCGAAUAGGGGAGCCGAAGGGAAACCGAGUCUUAACUGGGCGUUAAGUUGCAGGGUAUAGACCCGAAACCCGGUGAUCUAGCCAUGGGCAGGUUGAAGGUUGGGUAACACUAACUGGAGGACCGAACCGACUAAUGUUGAAAAAUUAGCGGAUGACUUGUGGCUGGGGGUGAAAGGCCAAUCAAACCGGGAGAUAGCUGGUUCUCCCCGAAAGCUAUUUAGGUAGCGCCUCGUGAAUUCAUCUCCGGGGGUAGAGCACUGUUUCGGCAAGGGGGUCAUCCCGACUUACCAACCCGAUGCAAACUGCGAAUACCGGAGAAUGUUAUCACGGGAGACACACGGCGGGUGCUAACGUCCGUCGUGAAGAGGGAAACAACCCAGACCGCCAGCUAAGGUCCCAAAGUCAUGGUUAAGUGGGAAACGAUGUGGGAAGGCCCAGACAGCCAGGAUGUUGGCUUAGAAGCAGCCAUCAUUUAAAGAAAGCGUAAUAGCUCACUGGUCGAGUCGGCCUGCGCGGAAGAUGUAACGGGGCUAAACCAUGCACCGAAGCUGCGGCAGCGACGCUUAUGCGUUGUUGGGUAGGGGAGCGUUCUGUAAGCCUGUGAAGGUGUGCUGUGAGGCAUGCUGGAGGUAUCAGAAGUGCGAAUGCUGACAUAAGUAACGAUAAAGCGGGUGAAAAGCCCGCUCGCCGGAAGACCAAGGGUUCCUGUCCAACGUUAAUCGGGGCAGGGUGAGUCGACCCCUAAGGCGAGGCCGAAAGGCGUAGUCGAUGGGAAACAGGUUAAUAUUCCUGUACUUGGUGUUACUGCGAAGGGGGGACGGAGAAGGCUAUGUUGGCCGGGCGACGGUUGUCCCGGUUUAAGCGUGUAGGCUGGUUUUCCAGGCAAAUCCGGAAAAUCAAGGCUGAGGCGUGAUGACGAGGCACUACGGUGCUGAAGCAACAAAUGCCCUGCUUCCAGGAAAAGCCUCUAAGCAUCAGGUAACAUCAAAUCGUACCCCAAACCGACACAGGUGGUCAGGUAGAGAAUACCAAGGCGCUUGAGAGAACUCGGGUGAAGGAACUAGGCAAAAUGGUGCCGUAACUUCGGGAGAAGGCACGCUGAUAUGUAGGUGAAGUCCCUCGCGGAUGGAGCUGAAAUCAGUCGAAGAUACCAGCUGGCUGCAACUGUUUAUUAAAAACACAGCACUGUGCAAACACGAAAGUGGACGUAUACGGUGUGACGCCUGCCCGGUGCCGGAAGG